UGGAAACAGUUGCUAAGACAGGAUAGGAAAUUAAGAGGCAUCUUUUAAUUUUUAAAAGACCUUUUUCGAAAGGUAUACUUAAAGAGGGGCUUGCGCCACAUUAGUUAGUUGGUAAGGUAAAAGCUUACCAAGACGAUGAUGUGUAGCUGGACUGAGAGGUCGAACAGCCACAUUGGGACUGAGACACGGCCCAAACUCCUACGGGAGGCAGCAGUAAGGAAUUUUUGGCAAUGGAGGAAACUCUGACCGAGCGACGCCGCGUGAACAAUGAAGUACUUCGGUAUGUAAAGUUCUUUUAUUGAAAAAGAAAAAAUAGUGGAAAAACUAUCUUGACAUUAUUCAAUGAAUAAGCCCCGGCUAAUUAUGUGCCAGCAGCCGCGGUAAUACAUAAGGGGCGAGCGUUAUCCGGAAUUAUUGGGCGUAAAGGGUGCGUAGGCGGUUUGAUAAGUCUAUAGUUUAAAUGCAGUGCUUAACGCUGUAGCGCUAUAGAAACUGUCUGACUAGAGUUAGAUAGAGGCAAGCGGAAUUCCAUGUGUAGCGGUAAAAUGCGUAAAUAUAUGGAGGAACACCAGAGGCGUAGGCGGCUUGCUGGGUCUUAACUGACGCUGAGGCACGAAAGCGUGGGGAGCAAACAGGAUUAGAUACCCUGGUAGUCCACGCCGUAAACGAUGAGUACUAAGUGUCGGGUUUCGACUCGGUACUGAAGUUAACACAUUAAGUACUCCGCCUGAGUAGUACGUACGCAAGUAUGAAACUUAAAGGAAUUGACGGGACCCCGCACAAGCGGUGGAUCAUGUUGUUUAAUUCGAAGAUACACGAAAAACCUUACCAGGUCUUGACAUAAUUNUGCGACAUUAUAGAAAUAUAAUGAAGGUUAUCAGAAUUACAGGUGGUGCAUGGUUGUCGUCAGCUCGUGUCGUGAGAUGUUAGGUUAAGUCCUAAAACGAGCGCAACCCUUGUCGUUAGUUGCGACCACGUAAUGGUGAGCACUUUAGCGAGACUGCCAAUGAAAAAUUGGAGGAAGGUGAGGAUUACGUCAAAUCAUCAUGCCCCUUAUGAUCUGGGCUACAAACGUGAUACAAUGGCUGUUACAAAGAGUAGCUGUAACGUGAGUUUAUGGCCAAUCUCAAAAAAACAGUCUCAGUUCGGAUUGAAGUCUGCAACUCGACUUCAUGAAGUUGGAAUCGCUAGUAAUCGCGAAUCAGCAUGUCGCGGUGAAUACGUUCUCGGGGUUUGUACACACCGCCCGUCAAA
This 1254-nucleotide ribosomal RNA is filed under the name Candidatus Phytoplasma phoenicium. RNAcentral describes it as "bacterial SSU rRNA". It matches the Rfam family "Bacterial small subunit ribosomal RNA", at positions 151 to 1401 of the family's 1533-position model. The record is from RNAcentral. Lineage: Bacteria; Bacillati; Mycoplasmatota; Mollicutes; Acholeplasmatales; Acholeplasmataceae.